RNAcentral lists this ribosomal RNA (253 nucleotides) under uncultured bacterium. Its description in RNAcentral is "partial 16S ribosomal RNA". It matches the Rfam family "Bacterial small subunit ribosomal RNA", at positions 524 to 776 of the family's 1533-position model. The record is from RNAcentral.
UACGAAGGGGGCUAGCGUUGCUCGGAAUCACUGGGCGUAAAGGGUGCGUAGGCGGGUCUUUAAGUCAGGGGUGAAAUCCUGGAGCUCAACUCCAGAACUGCCUUUGAUACUGAGGAUCUUGAGUUCGGGAGAGGGAAGCGGAAUUCCGGGUGUAGCGGUGAAAUGCGUAGAUAUCCGGAGGAACACCGGUGGCGAAGGCGGCUUCCUGGACCGACACUGACGCUGAGGCGCGAAAGCUAGGGGAGCAAACGGG